Molecule: long non-coding RNA, 502 nt
Filed under: Calidris pugnax (ruff)
Lineage: Eukaryota; Metazoa; Chordata; Aves; Charadriiformes; Scolopacidae
Description: lncRNA (ENSCPUG00000001163.1)
Source: RNAcentral
AUGUAUCGGGUUAGCAGUUCUUCAGCUAGGAGGUCUCAUGCUUUUGUGGAAGAGAUCGUGCUCUGUAUCACCGACUUAUCACCCAUACUUUCUCAGGAAGUUCAGGGUCUGACUGGGCUGUGCUUUUGGCCAGAAGACAGCGUAUGUUCACAUGGAGAAGAGGUGGAUCUGAAUGUCUAUGAUUCUUCAGCAAGAUUUUAGCCUUCUCUAUUGCACUGCAAGCCUUACUGCAGCCCUUACAGAGAGGAGGAGUUCCCUAUGCCUAUGAAAACGUCUCAGCUGCCUCUUCUGUACUGCCAGGGAGAUGUGGUAAGUCACAGAGGGAGUGAAACAGUGACAGCCCUUGAGACCUUCACUGCACCCCUUGUCCAAAAGUGAUACUGCUUGAGUCUGGGGUUUAGUUUCUUGGUUUCAGCACCAUGAAAGAUUCAAACACUAUGGCACGCUUCUGUUAGUAAGGAGACCAUAAUAAAAGCGCAUUAAAAUGGUUUAACUCUGCCCA